This is a non-coding RNA of Podarcis lilfordi (Lilford's wall lizard), 3443 nucleotides long. Lineage: Eukaryota; Metazoa; Chordata; Lepidosauria; Squamata; Lacertidae. The record is from the annotation of a GenBank genome assembly.
AAAAUCCCUAUUCCGUUCAGUACGAAUGAUUCAAAUAGCAUUUGAUGAUAAAAAAUAACAAACAGCAAACGAGCAAACUUCUGAAACAACAAUGGUAUAUUAGCUCCGCCCAAGGCAUGAAGGAGAGCAGCAACAACUGGGAAAAGAUAGACACAAUAUUUUACAAGGACAGAAAGAAACAUCACAGACAGAAUAAUGGCCACAAAAAGGAAGAACAAGGAUAUACGGUAGUUUUAAUGCUUCACCUGUAGAUUUAUAAAUCAUUUAAUGUGUCAUUACGAAUGGAAUUCGUUAAUACUGCAGUUGUUGUAUAAGGGAUUGCGAUUUUGACUGGAGGUAAUUGAAAUUAAUAAGAUUUUGGAAUGAGGAAAUGAAGUAAAUAAUCAAACCAUCAAUUCUAGCAAGUGGGGGGGGGGAAGAGACACUUAAAUUACCUAAAUUACAUAAUUUGGCAUCUGAACAAUUGGUAUCAGUAAUUGUAUUAUAAUUUGGCAUUUUUAUAAUGAGGCUAUUAUUGGAUUAUUGUAAUUGAAAAUUAAUAAAAAUUAUUAUAUUUUUUUAAAAUUCUCAGCAUUCUUUUAGCAAUCUCCAUUUACAGCCCUUUUAAACUCUUGGUAUCGCCUCCCUUCAAUCUCUGAACUGCUUUUCUUAAACAGAGCUUCUUGCUCUACAUCAUCUUUUCUUUUGUAUUGCACAUUUGUCACCCAGCCCAUUCUAAAUGUAGCAUAAUAAACUUUAAAGCAUAACUUGUGAAAUCAAUCUGAAUUGGCUUUCACCAACUGAUUUUACAGCACAACCCUAUGCAUGCUUACUUAGAAGUAAGUCCCACUAUAUUAAUUGGUGCUUGAACUCAGGGAUAUGUAAAGGAUUGCAGCCUUCAUCUGUUCCUCCUGACCCUUCCUUGCAAUAGUCCCUUCCUAUUCCUGAUUUCCCUUUCUGGCACUUUCCCUUUUGCCUUUGAUGAUGCCCAUUUCCCCUUGUUAUUUUUCUCACUUCACCCUUUCCCACUCUCUUAUAGCAGCCUAUUUAUUAGUAGCCUAAUUUAGGGCUCUCUUUCUCCUCUGCCUUGCUCUAAGUUUCUCUGCAGUUACCCUUCUACAAAUGAAAUUGUGUGGCUAUUCUUCUGCAUUGUGCCAGAAAUAAUGUAGUUAAAAACAAGAGAACCUACCCAUGUGACGCUGACACAAAACCCUUGCACGUACGCUAUGUGAGAGGAUGAAAGUUUAAUAUCCCCCCUCUUCUCUUCCUCCCAACGUCCCGCCCCCCCCACCUUAUACUGUCUACAAUAUUGGUCUCUCACAUUGAAUAGAACUGGUCUGUAGAAACGACUUUAUGAUCUGAAAACAGAGAUGAUGUAUGCACUUUUGUGAUCUAAGGAAAUCUUUAAUAAAUAUUUUUUAAGUUAACACAGCUUUGUAUUUAUGCAUAGGAUCUUAAGAGUUGAGGGGAUGGGAAGAAACUAACAGUGAAAUCCUAUAUGGGACCACAAAGAAGUUAAGCCCCACUGAGUUCAAUUGAACUUAUUCCCGUGAAGUCUGUGUGUAUAGGACUGCAGCCUGAGACUGCAAGCGACCUUGUUAUGCAAACAGUCUGAAUGAUUACUUCUUAUAUUACAGCUUUGCAGACAAAACUCUCACACACAAUUAGCAUCCUGUUGAAACUAGCGACAGUACAGUCGUGCCUUGGGUUACAUACGCUUCAGGUUACAGACUCUGCUAACCCAGAAAAAUUGCUUCAUGUUAAGAACUUUGCUUCAGGAUGAGAACAGAAAUCGUGCUCCGGCGGUGCAGCAGCAGCAGGAGGCCCCAUUAGCUAAAGUGGUGCUUUAGGUUAAGAAUAGUUUCAGGUUAAGUACGGCCCUUUGGAACGAAUUAAGUACUUAACCCGAGGUACCACUGUAUGUCAGAAGAUGGUUAGAACGGUGGGUCUGGCAAGCUCUUUGCCUUUCAAGAAAUCGCUGCUUUUGAGAAACUCUUGAUUAUCAGGAGAUGAAUCAGAGUAUUAUGACAUAGUGUACAGAGCAGGGAUUUCUUAAAACAGAAGGAUAAAGCAUUUAGCAUAGCUCAGUAAUCCUUAUAGCACCCUGAGUGGGGCAAGCGGAAGAUGAGACACAUUAAUCUCUUUGAGGCAAGGUGUGGGAAUCUUUGGAACCUCCAGAUGCAUCUGAACUACAACUCCCAUCAGCCCCAGCAGGCAUGGCCAAUGGCCAGGGAUGAUGGGAGUUGUAGUUCAGCAACAUCUGGAGGGCCAAGUGUUCCCACAGCUGCCUUAAAACCACCCCAUGGAAGUUUGUGGCUGAGCUGAGUCUUGAAGUGGGAGCUUCCAGUUCAUUCCUUAAACUGUUAUGUCCAGAAGUUCCCGAUUGUGGUAGCUGUGUUGGUCAAAAAACAAUACAAUUAAGAUGUGUAGCUGUUCAAAUGAAAACUUUCCCAUUCGCCAGGCUUCUGGGCUUCACAGGACAUUGUCACAAAGCAACACAACAUUACCUUGCCAAGCCUACAAAUCAGGAGCAGCCAAGGCUUCAGAUGUUGUGAACUACAACUCCCAUCAUCCCUCACUAUUGGCACUGCUGGUUUUGGGUGAUGGGAGAUGUAGUCCAUGUGUUUUGUUGCGUGAAUAAACCACAUUUUGAUGCAUGUGCGUAAAACACAUAAUAUAAGAAAUCAUCCUAAACAUUAAAUACAAUCUUGCAAGCAAGCCUUACCCGAGGGUCUAAGCAUGAGGCCAACUUUUGGUACACUCAAACUGAAAUUUAGUGAAAAAGGAAUUCACUAGGACACCUUUGACCAAAAAAAUAGAGCAGUGCCAUCUAAUGGACACAAAUGUGUAUAGCAUUAGAGCUACAGAAAAGCACCCAUUACUGAAGCACAGGAAUUGACUGGUAUCCCUCUUGCAUGGCCUGCUGGGCUGUUGCUUUUAGACCAGCCUGCUCAUGAUUCAACUGUGUGUAUUGACUUCCCAAAGUAAGUGCCAAUACCAAUCCUUGUGGGAAUCAACUUUCUACCUCUCGUUAUUCAUUUGGAGAACUAUCCGUUUAGUCCUAUUCUUUGCUUCCUGCAACUUUAACUAUAAAAUUUGUUUUUAUUAACGGAUUUUCAUCGUUAACAUGGGUACAUGCAACGUCUGUUUUCAAUUCACAGAGUCCUUUCAACUUGACUAAGCUGCGAUUCCCAAGAGGAUCUCUCCUCUUAUUCCUCGACUGCUAAGCUUACUCAAGAGUCUUCAGCGUGGCCAUGACAAGAUCUGCUCAGUGGAUUUGGCCAGAACCCUUAACUGGACAGAGAUUGGCUUGGCGACUUUCAUAUUCUCUCUUUCUACAGAGCCCCACCUCACAAACAGUAAACCAUAGGCUUAGGAGGAACCCUAAGAUGACAUCUAGAGAAGCCCCCCAUCAUAUAACAAUAAUACAAGUGCCUAGCCCUUCUUAAAAGAAAACAAUACCC